Taeniopygia guttata (zebra finch) is the source of this 45-nucleotide non-coding RNA. The record is from Rfam. NCBI's taxonomy places the organism in Eukaryota, Metazoa, Chordata, Aves, Passeriformes, Estrildidae.
AUAUAGGCUUUUUUCAAAGCCCCAGAUGCUGGAAUUAAUGUGUUG